This 485-nucleotide unclassified non-coding RNA is filed under the name 'Prunus salicina' phytoplasma PLE4. Its description in RNAcentral is "bacterial SSU rRNA". The stretch from base 1 to 338 matches the Rfam family "Bacterial small subunit ribosomal RNA", at positions 1202 to 1533 of the family's 1533-position model. The record is from RNAcentral. Lineage: Bacteria; Bacillati; Mycoplasmatota; Mollicutes; Acholeplasmatales; Acholeplasmataceae.
UUAUGACCUGGGCUACAAACGUGAUACAAUGGCUGUUACAAAGGGUAGCUGGAGCGCAAGUUUUUGGCCAAUCCUCAAAAAAACAGUCUCAGUCCGGAUUGAAGUCUGCAACUCGACUUCAUGAAGUUGGAAUCGCUAGUAAUCGCGAAUCAUCAUGUCCCGGUGAAUACGUUCUCGGGGUUUGUACACACCGCCCGUCAAACCACGAAAGUUGGCAAUACCCAAAGCCGGAGGCCAAACUUCGCAAGAAGAGGGAACCGUCUAAAGUAGGGUCGAUGAUUGGGGUUAAGUCGUAACAAGGUAUCCCUACCGGAAGGUGGGGAUGGAUCACCUCCUUUCUAAGGAAACAAUUAUCAUCUUCAGUUUUGAGAGAACUUAAGAAAGUUUUUCAUUGUCACUUGCUUGCAAAUUGUAUUUGCAUACAUUUUAAUCUUUUUAAGAUUAAGGGCCUAUAGUCUCAUGUUGGUUGAGCACACGCCUGAUAA